AUGCGCCGCCCAACCCGCGAAUGGACUCCAUCCAGACAGGGCGGGCAGCCGGCGGUCGGCCGAAGCCGCCCCGCCCCUGUACACUUCUACCCUGGCCAGCACCCGGGCCGGUGGGCUUCUGGGACACAGAGCGGGAGGCUGGGCGUGCGUGUGGGGGUGAGGGGCGCAGAGGGUAGAAGACCCGCGCCACCUCGCCCCGCCACCCUCGGGUCGCCCAGAGACCGGAGGUGGCACCGGGGGUCGGGUCAGCCAGACGACACCACACAGGAGCCGGCGCACAGGCCCAGGCGGGCGGCUCCAGCGGCAAGGGACGAACCGGGCACCAGCUGGCAGCCCAGAAGCCCAGAGCCCCGCGUGCGUCCAGAGACCCACAGUCCUCGGUGGCAGACACCAAAGGAGACUACCAGGAAAAAAAAAAAAAAUAGCUUUGACUAUACAGACCUUUGUUGGCAAAGUGCGGUCUCUGCUUUUUAAUACUGCUGUCUAGGUUUUUCAUAGCUUUUCUUCCAAGGAUUUCAUGGCUGCCAUCACCGUCCACAGUGAUUUUGAAGCCAAAGAAAAUAGUCUGUCACUGUUGCCAUUUUUUUUUCCAUCUAUUCACCACGAAGUGAUGGGACCAGAUGCCCUGAUGUUAGUUUUUUGAAUGUUGUGUUUUAAGCCAGCUUUUUCACCUUUAUCAAGAGGCUCUUUCUGCCAUUAGGGUGGUUCAUCUUUCUGCCAUUAGUGUGGUUCAUCUGCAUAUCUGAGGUUGUUGAUAUUUCUCCUGGCAACCUUGAUUUCAGCUUGCGAGCCAUCCAGCCAGGCAUUUCACAUAAUAUGCUCUGGAUAUAAGUUAAAUAAGCAGGUGACAAUAUACAACCUUGAUGUACUCCUUUCCCAAAUUGUAACCAGUCCAUCUUUCCAUUGUGCAGUUCUAACUGUUGCUUCUUGAUCUGCAUACAGGCUUCUCAGGAGACAGGUAAGGUGGUCUGGCAUUCCCAUCUCUUUAAGAAUUCCAGUUUGUUGUGAUCCACAUAGUCCAAGUCUUUCUAGAUUUCAUAUAUAUGCAUGGCUAUUGUUCAGUCACUACGUCAUGUCCAAUUCCUUGUGACUCCAUGCUAAGAAUUUCUGUGUAUUGAUUUUAUGUCCUGUGAGUUUACUAUUUUCAUUGAUUAGCUCUAGCAAUUUUCUAAUGGCAUAUUUAGGAUUUUCUAUAUCUAGAAUCAUGUCAUCUGAAAAUGGUGAGGGCUUUCCUUCUUUUACAAACUAUUUUCAUUUUUUAUUUUUUCUUCUCUAGUUGUAGCUAGGACUUCCAAAACUGUGGAAUAAUGUUGGCAGCAUGCCAGGCUUCUCUGUCCUUCAUUAUGUUUGCUCAGAUUCAAGUCCAUUGAACCAGUGAUACUAUCUAACCUUCUUAUCCUCUGUCUCCUUCUUCUCCUUUUGUUUUCAGUUGUUCCCAGAAUCAAGGUAUUUUCCACUGAGUCAGCUCUUUGCAUCAGGGAACCAAAGUAUUGGAGCUUCAGUUCCAACAUCAGCCCUUCCAAUUAAUAUUCAAAGUUGAUUUCCUUUAGGAUUGACUGGUUUGAUCUCCAUGCUUUUCAAGGGACUCUCAAGAGUCUUCUCCAGCAUGACAAUUGGAAAGCAUCAAUUCUUCAGCACUCAGCCUUCUUUAUGUCAACUCUGACAUCCAUACAUGACUCCUUGAAAAGCCAUGUGUGUGUGUGUUAGUUUCACAGUUGGGUCUGACAUUUGUGAUUUCCAGCACCUCAGUUUAAAGCAUAAGUUCUUUGCCAUUCAGCCUUUUUUAUGAUCUGACAUUCUUUGUGACUUCAUGGACGGUAGCUUUCCAGCCCCUCUGUCCAUGGAAUUCUCCAGGCCAGAAUACUGGAGUGGGUAACUGUUCUUCUCUCCAGGAGAUCUCCCCAACUCAGAGAUUGAACCCAGGUCUACUGCAUUGCAGGUGCAUUCUUAACAUGUAAGACACCAGGGAAACCCCACAUGCAUACAUGACUACUAUAAAAACUAUAGCUUUGACUAUAAUUAACCUUUGUCAGAAAAGUGAUGUUUUUGCUUUUAAACAUAGUGUCUAGGUUUAUAGUAGCUUUUCUUUCAAGGAACAAGCCUCUUUUAAGUCCAUGGCUGCAGUUGCCAUCCACAGUGAUUUUGGAACCUCUGUUUGCCAUGAAGUGAUGGAACCAGAUGUGAUUAUCUUGGUUUUUUGAGUAAUGAGUUAUAAGCCAGCAUUGGUAUAUGAUAUUUGUUUUUCUCUUUUCUCUUUUACUUUACACUGUAUAAUAUAUGCUCUAGGUCCAUCCACCUUAUUAAAACUGAGUUAAAUGCACUCCAUUAUAUGGCUCAGUAAUAUUCCAUUAUAUAUAUGUACCACAAUUCUUUAUCCAUAUGGGCUUCCCUUGUAGCUCAGCUGGUAAAGAAUCUGCCUGCAAUGCAGGAGAGCCUGGUUUGAUUCCUGGGUCAGGAAGAUCCCUUGGAGAAGGGAUAGUCUACCCUCUCCAGUAUUUUUGGGCUUGCCUGGUAGCUCAGAUGGUAAAUAAUCUGGCUGUAAUGUGUGAGACAUGGGUUUGAUCCCUGGGUCGGGAAGAUCUUUUGGAGGAGGGUAUGGCAAUCCAUUCCAGUAUUCUUGCCUGGAGAAUCCUCAUGGAAAGAGAAGCCUGGAAAGCUACAGUCCAUAGGGUUGCAAAGAGUCAGACACGACUGAGUGACUGAGCACAAUAUCUAUUAGUGGACAUCUAGGUUGUUUCCAUGUCCUGCUGCUGCUGCUGCUAAGUCGUCGUGUUCAACUCUGUGCGACCCCAUAGAUGGCAGCCUACCAGGCUCCCCUGUCCCGGGAUUCUCCAUGCAAGAACACUGGAGUGGGUUGCCAUGUCCUUCUCCAAUGCAUGAAAGUGAAGAGUGAAAGUGAAGUCGCUCAGUCCUAGCUAUUGUAAACAGUUCUGUGAUUAACAUUGGACUACAUGUAUCUUUUUCAAUUGUGGUUUUCUUGUGGUUUAUGUUCACUAGUGGUGUUUUGUGUCACAUGGUAGUUUUAUUCCUAAUUUUUUUAAGGAAUAUCCAUAGUUAACUCCCUAGUGGCUAUAUCAAUUUACAUCCCCACCAACAAUAUAAGAAGUUUCCCCUUUCUCCACACUUUCUCAAGCAUUUAUUGCUUGUAAAUUUCUUGACAAUAGUCAUUCUAACCGGUGUAAAGUGAUAACCUCAUUAUACUUUAGAUUUGCAUUUAUCUAAUAAUGAGUGAUCUCUAAUUUCUUGAAGAGAUCUCUAGUCUUUCCCAUCCUGUUGUUUUCCUCUAUUUCUUUGCAUUGAUCACUGAAGAAGGCUUUCUUAUCUCUUCUUGCUAUUCUUUGGAACUCUGCAUUCAGAUGCUUAUAUCUUUCCUUUUCUCCUUUGCUUUUCGCCUCUCUUCUUUUCACAGCUAUUUCUAAGGCCUCUUCAGACAGCCAUUUUGCUUUUUUGCAUUUCUUUUCCAUGGGGAUGGUCUUGAUCCCUGUCUCCUGGACAAUGUCACGAACCUCAUUCCAUAGUCAUCAGGCACUCUAUCUAUCAGAUCUAGGCCCUUAAAUCUAUUUCUCACUUCCACUGUAUAAUCAUAAGGGAUUUGAUUUAGGUCAUACCUGAAUGGUCUAGCGGUUUUCCCUACUUUCUUCAAUUUAAGUCUGAAUUGGGCAAUAAGGAGUUCAUGAUCUGAGCCACAGUCAGCUCCUGGUCUUGUUUUUGUUGACUGUAUAGAGCUUCUCCAUCUUUGGCUGCAAAGAAUAUAAUCAAUCUGAUUUCGGUGUUGACCAUCUGGUGAUGUCCAUGUGUAGAGUCUUCUCUUGUGUUGUUGGAAGAGGGUGUUUGCUAUGACCAGUGCAUUUUCUUGGCAAAACUCUAUUAGUCUUUGCCCUGCUUCAUUCCGCAUUCCAAGGCCAAAUUUGCCUGUUACUCCAGGUGUUUCUUGACUUCCUACUUUUGCAUUCCAGUCCCCUAUAAUGAAAAGGACAUCUUUUUUGGGUGUUAGUUCUAAAAGGUCUUGUAGGUCUUCAUAGAACCAUUCAACUUCAGCUUCUUCAGCAUUACUGGUUGGGGCAUAGACUUGGAUAACUGUGAUAUUGAAUGGUUUGCCUUGGAGACGAACAGAGAUCAUUCUGUCAUUUUUGAGAUUGCAUCCAAGUACUGCAUUUUGGACUCUUUUGUUGACCAUGAUGGCUACUCCAUUUCUUCUGAGGGAUUCCUGCCCGCAGUAGUAGAGACAUUCCAGGUUCCUAUGCAAUAUUGCUCUUUACAGCAUUGGACUUUGUUUCUAUCACCAGUCACAUCCACAGCUGGGUAUUGUCAGAAGCAGAAGAUAAUUAAAAAGAGGUGGCAAGAAUACACAGAAGAACUGUACAAAAAACAUCUUCACGACCCGGAUAAUCACAAUGGUGUGAGCACUCAUCUAGAGCCAGACAUCCUGGAAUGUGAAGUCAAGUAGGCCUUAGAAAGCAUCACUACGAACAAAGCU
RNAcentral lists this long non-coding RNA (4477 nucleotides) under Ovis aries (sheep). Its description in RNAcentral is "lncRNA (ENSOARG00000025564.1)". Lineage: Eukaryota; Metazoa; Chordata; Mammalia; Artiodactyla; Bovidae. The record is from RNAcentral.